GCUCCUACGGGACGCAGCAGUAGGGAAUCUUCCACAAUGGACGAAAGUCUGAUGGAGCAACGCCGCGUGAGUGAAGAAGGGUUUCGGCUCGUAAAGCUCUUUUGGUAGGGAAGAAAGAUAGAGGUAGUAACUGGCCUUUAUUUGACGGUAAUUACUUAGAAAGUCACGGCUAACUACGUGCCAGCAGCCGCGGUAAUACGUAGGUGGCAAGCGUUGUCCGGAUUUAUUGGGCGUAAAGCGAGUGCAGGCGGCUGCAUAAGUAUGAUUUGGAAUCCUCACGCCCAAC
This 286-nucleotide ribosomal RNA is filed under the name uncultured bacterium. RNAcentral describes it as "partial 16S ribosomal RNA". It matches the Rfam family "Bacterial small subunit ribosomal RNA", at positions 335 to 613 of the family's 1533-position model. The record is from RNAcentral.